GGAAAACUCACCAGGUCCAGACAUAGUAAGGAUUGACAGAUUGAUAGAUCUUUCUUGAUUCUAUGGGUGGUGGUGCAUGGCCGUUCUUAGUUGGUGGAGUGAUUUGUCUGCUUAAUUGCGUUAACGAACGAGACCUUCACAUGCUAAAUAGCGAAACGAAUCUUCGGAUUUGUAUUCGACUUCUUAGAUGGACUUUAGGCUUUUAAGCUUAAGGAAGCAGGAGGCAAUAA
RNAcentral lists this ribosomal RNA (230 nucleotides) under uncultured eukaryote. RNAcentral describes it as "partial 18S ribosomal RNA". It matches the Rfam family "Eukaryotic small subunit ribosomal RNA", at positions 1208 to 1456 of the family's 1831-position model. The record is from RNAcentral.